GGGGGGAGGCCGGAUCCUGGGCUGUGUCCCGGCGCCCUGUGCUCUGGAGCCUGCGCUGUUGGAUUCGCGCUCCCGGGCCGCGCAACCCCCU
This is a non-coding RNA of Canis lupus familiaris (dog), 91 nucleotides long. Lineage: Eukaryota; Metazoa; Chordata; Mammalia; Carnivora; Canidae. The record is from Rfam.